UCGAGAAUCAUUCGCAAUGGGCGAAAGCCUGACGAUGCGACGCCGUGUGUAUGAUGAAGGCCUUAGGGUCGUAAAGUACUUUCGCCUGGGAACAAGACAAUUUGACUAACAAUCAAAGAGUUUGAGGGUAUCAGGUAAAGAAGCACCGGCUAACUCCGUGCCAGCAGCUGCGGUAAUACGGAGGGUGCAAGCAUUAAUCGGAUUUAUUGGGCGUAAAGGGCGCGUAGGCGGUCAAGAAAGUCGUAUGUGAAAUUCCGGGGCUCAACCUCGGAGCUGCAUAGGAAACUUCUUGUCUAGAGGGUAGGCGGAGAAAAUGGAAUUCCACAAGUAGCGGUGAAAUGCGUAGAUAUGUGGAAGAACACCAGUGGCGAAGGCGGUUUUCUAGCUUAUACCUGACGCUGAGGCGCGAAAGCAAGGGGAGCAAACA
RNAcentral lists this ribosomal RNA (427 nucleotides) under uncultured bacterium. Its description in RNAcentral is "bacterial SSU rRNA". It matches the Rfam family "Bacterial small subunit ribosomal RNA", at positions 355 to 774 of the family's 1533-position model. The record is from RNAcentral.